AACGAACGCUGGCGGCGUGGAUAAGACAUGCAAGUCGAGCGCUGAUCGCGGGGUAGCAAUAUUCCGAGGUCGGAGCGGCGCAAGGGUGCGUAACAUGUGGGUAAUUUGCCGUGAAGUUGGGGAUAACUUGCUGAAAGGCGAGCUAAUACCGAAUGUGACGGCCGGAGGGCAUCCUCUGGUUUUCAAAGUUGGGGACCGCAAGGCCUGACGCUUCAUG
This 217-nucleotide ribosomal RNA is filed under the name uncultured bacterium. RNAcentral describes it as "partial 16S ribosomal RNA". It matches the Rfam family "Bacterial small subunit ribosomal RNA", at positions 29 to 224 of the family's 1533-position model. The record is from RNAcentral.